Atta colombica is the source of this 663-nucleotide long non-coding RNA. RefSeq lists it as uncharacterized. The transcript has 3 exons. Lineage: Eukaryota; Metazoa; Arthropoda; Insecta; Hymenoptera; Formicidae. The record is from RefSeq and is a predicted model, not a curated record.
AUACAUAUGUAUGUGCGUGCAUAUGUGUGUGUAUAUAUAUAUACGUGCAUCACGUCUUAAAAAGUCGUGUGUUAAAAAUUUGAAUAGCCGCAAUAGCUAUAUUUCCGUCUUCUUGUUGUUCAUUUGUUGUCAUCAUGGGUUAGUGUUUAGUCGGAGAAGAAUAGGUAUCGAUAAUAAAUAUCGAUCGUAAAGAGAAGUAAACUCUGUAUGUAUUGUAGGUGGGUGGGUAUGUCGCACGCGCGUGCGCUUAUAAAUACCACAGGCGGGUAUGGGAAAAUCGAAAUUGCUGCGCAUACGCCAUUGGAGCAAGUGGUAUACAUCGGCGCAGCAGCAGCCAGCAGGUUGCUGGGCGCGAUUAUCGCAAAGAACGGCGCAGUUGCCGCCUCGAGUUGCCUUUCUCCGUUUCCGCUGUUAUUUUCACAUUAGGCUCGGACGAACGCCAUUUUGAACUGCGAGCGGUUUAUUAUCGCGGACCAGUGCCGACAAGACGAGACGGACGAGAUGCUUCUUGUUGUGUGGGUGGACUAGCUACUGGAGGUGAACCAACAUUCACCGUACAAUGAUGCUGCGACAAUGUGGCGCCGGGUGGGAGAAACGUAUUGAAACCUACGAUGAGUUCGGGAUGUCCUUUGAAAAGAUGACUUACUCGCGUUAUAACGCCCG